RNA transcript from Brachypodium distachyon (stiff brome), 1374 nucleotides. RefSeq lists it as uncharacterized. The record is from RefSeq and is a predicted model, not a curated record. Lineage: Eukaryota; Viridiplantae; Streptophyta; Magnoliopsida; Poales; Poaceae. The transcript is spliced from 3 exons.
UGGAAGAUUCGUGCUUUUUCUUGGCCUCCUCUUGUUCUUUGCCUCUGCGGCUCUGCGCACUCGGCUUCCUUCAGUCGACACUCAGACAGACCUCGGAGCAGAGAGGAUGAGGACGCGGGGGAAGGGGAGGAGGCGAUUCUGCUCGUCCGUUGGGAUUCCCCUUCAUUUUCUGGUGUCCCCCGUCCUCCGUCCUCCGUAAGGCCCUCGCGGGGUCGGCGUCCUCAUGGCUGCUCAACCUCGAUGGCGACGGCGCGGCGAGCGGGGCGCGCUGGAGCGGCCCUCGAAGCGGUUAGCGCUUCCGGGAGAACCUAGAGGCGCCCCCCGCAAGGUCGCCGCCGAGGCCGCGGCCGUCGGGCGCGCGUCUGCUCCGACCCCCAUUAUGGCGACUUUUCCUCGUCGUCGGCGGAGGCUUUUUCUCUUCCCCGUCCGGGGAGAGGUCAGGUGUCAGGUGGUUUCUGCAUUUGUGCUCGUUGGCGGCGAAGUUUGUCUGGUCCGCGCGGUGAGUUCGUCUGGCCACGUCACACCCACGGCUGCUUUGGUUCGCUUAAUCACACGGCUGAUUUCUUUCUCGCUUAUUUUUCUGGAGCGGAUGUGUCGAGGCGAAGGCAGCAGAGGCGGCCGCUUGCUCUUCGAUUUCCCCCAUAUCUGGUCAAUGGCGGACUAUGCUCGUGCGCGUCUGUUGAGUUUUGCUUGCUGUACUCUCACGGUGACCAUUUGCGAUGGAUGGGGUUCGAUUCAGGUUUGAGAAACAAAGAGCCAACGUUAGGUUGUGGUUGUAGCUACUAAGCGUCUUUGUGAUAGAACAUUUUGUAGGCUAGUUGUAGUAGUUUCCAGGCUUCAGAUUGAUUGGUGCAGAUACAGUUUUGGUGUAGAUGUUAUGAUGUGGAUCUGGCCCAGACUCGUUGCCUCUAACAAUGUGAUUAGCAAGUUUUUGGCUGCCAGGUCCAAUGACACUGCCUCUACUUAGUUUAUUUUGAGUGCUAGCUGCAGUGUUUUAUUUUCUACUGCGAAAUUAACUUCAUGAGUUGUGCUUUCAGAAAUCACCCUCAAUUCUUAACGACACGGGAAUAGACAAUUGUUAACUUUUGUGAUCAUUCUCUAGACGAGGAUUUAAGCUUUGAUCCAGACACUGAACAAGGAGAGAGCUUUCUAGGAGGCAUGCUAUAGGUUGGCUGUCUUUUGAAGUUGGUUCUCUUGUAUUGUUCUGUUGAAUACUGCGUAGUAUCAUGGAAACUAACCAAAUGUAAGAUUAGUUUAUAUUCAGAUUUCAUUUCAUAAAUUGUUCUGUUAUAUUGCAUUAUAUGCUUAUCCCCAUUGUUGUAAUAUUAAUUUAUUUUUAUUAAAAAAGAGAGAUUGCUCAUAUUAGUUUGCUUC